CCCGCAGCUGCUCCUUGAGCCACAUCUGAGUCCUCACUGCCGGCUGUAUGGGAGCUCCGCUCACAGCCUGCUGUCCCAGUGUCGCGUAUCUCUGGCCAAAAGCUUCGCAGCCGCCCGCCGCAGGUUUGCUUUCAGGAAAAGACUCUCAGUGAAAGCAGGGAUGGAAAUGCACAGAAGAAAUGCAUCUCCUCUUGUACAGCUCUUAACUGCACGGACCCCAGCAACAGACCACAAACAAUUCCAGCAUCCAGCAUAGGACUGAAGGAGCCAUGGGUCUUCCAUCUACCAAGCAAGCAUAUGGGUGCUUCCCACAAAUCUCCAAAACAGCUGUUUUCAACAACAGAAGUGUCUAACUCUCCUGUGAGUUGGUUGAAACACAAAGACAUUGGGAUGAUGUGCCAGCAUCAAUAGUACUGAUGCUACAUGUGUGUUCCUCCCCGCCUGGACAAGCCUUAAUGCAACAGAGAUAAUCAGAUGAGCCAAACGAGACAUUUCAAAGUGGCCAGGCAGGAGGCCAGUUCUUGUAAAAAGUCCUAAGCAGACUGACUCAUCAUCCUCUGGAAGCAAAAGGAUGCCUUUCCAGGGUGCAGCAGCACUCACAGGAACGGUUUGGGCUUGGUUGAUUUGUUGGGGAUUUUUUGUUUGUGUUUUUUUUUUUUUUUUUUUUUAUUGUACUGUCUAGAAUUGUUCAUCAUUCUUUUUACAGGCCUUUUUCAUAUUACUUCACAUUUACUAUGUCAAAAUAUGAGGUGAAUGAAGGAAGGAAUCUCUGCAAAUAACUCUCUUCCGAAGAAUAAAUAAGAACACGUAUCACAGAAAGCUGUAGCAGAAAAGCAGACAUUUAACAAGUUUUGUAUGAGAAAGAAUACCUAAACAUUAUUUGUUUAUAGAGUUCUGUGUUUGAACAGCAAGGAACUAAUAUAAAAGAAUAACUAACAAAAAACUUACUAGAGAAAAAAUGUAAUACUACCUAAAGUUAAUUUUAAAUAGUAUUAUAUGCUAAAAUACUUACUGCCAGUAAAAUGUCUAUGCCUUCAAAGCAGAAACAGUCAUGUGGUGUUUAGAAGCAAGUCCAAUAAAUGUCAAUUGGAAAAAAGAAGGAAGUUCACUGCCUUCCACCAUCACCAUCACUGUACUGCCAGUAUCAAUCAGAAUUCUUUUACGUAAGAUGUGGGUUGCAAACUCCAAGUCAGUUCUACUUUGUUUCACAUUAAUUGUAUGGGAUUUUCUGUAAUCUACUGUGUUGCAUACCAAAGGAAUGCAAGCUGCACCUAAAAACUGGCUAGUUUUAAAAGGUGAAGGAAUUUAAAAGCUACAUAAUUCACAAAUAAUUUGAAUGGUACAAUGCUGAAUUAUAUGCGAACUUAGAAGGUUGCAGUUGAGACAGGAUCUUCCAAAACUGAAGCAAUUUUGUCGCUUCUAGGACUUUGUUUCAGAAGAAAUACUGGUAAAGCUACUAUCUCUCAGCAAUGUUAUUAUAGAGAGAUGGAAGAAGGAAUAAAUGGUAGGACAGCCUCACAGGCCUCCUACAAUGCACAGAUAUCAAAAAAUACUACAAGGCAAUUUAAAAGGAUUUUUAGUAAGUAGAGCAGAAAGCCAUGCUGGAAAGAGUAAAAGCUGCACUCAUAAGUACCAGGAUUGCAUCCACACUUAUGCAAGGAAAGAAUUGCAGAGAUAACAAUGAAUUCCAGCAAAUGGCAAACAGCUUCUUAGAUAUCCUUAUAAACAAAGGGAAUGCUAUGUACAGAUGAAUACUUGAACAGAAACUUGCUUAACAUAUCCCAUCUAAUUUAUUAAGACCUGGCCAUUUGGUGUCCAUCUUCCUUAUCCUCCUCCUCUACAGGAAAUGAAUUUGCUUUUCCCCCAGUUGUGACUUCUCAUUCUUUUCCACACCCUUGAGGCAAACACACCUUCUCCCUUGUUUGACAGAGAGGUGAUAGGGUAACAUCAUUCUCUGAGUAAGUAAUGAGGACAACACUCUCAAUUUGCAAACAAUACAAAAAAAGGGCGAGUGAGAAAAAAAAAUGUUCUAAAAUUUAUUAAAGCUUAACAAAGAAACUGUCACUGAACAAGAGAAAAUUAUACCUCCUCACUGAGCAAAUGAAAAAUACUUACUCAAAGAAAAUAACUUAUAUUUCCCUGCUUUCACAUUAGUCACAUCCUGUUUUCGUCUUACCACAUAAAAAGUUGCCUUGCUUCACUUAGAUUUACCUGAAAACCCAGUGUUUUCCCUAGCACACAGUACUGACAAGGAACAUGCCUUAUAGGAGCUACUACUUUGUAUUAAGCUGUCGUAUUUCUGGUACUGAAAUACUCUUUCACAAAUCCGCUCUUUGAUGAAGUCUCAUUAGGGCACAGCCAACACUCAUCAGCUUUGAUUUAUUUAAAGAGUGUUGUCCCAUGCUAGAGAGGUCAUCCUUGCACCUUAACAUCAGGUUCCCACCACGCCUUCCGAGGUAGCAGAACUGGCAAAAACCUCAUUAGCAAAGUUCUAAAGAUUCUAGCAGCAAGAACACACAACUAAGUAACACAGUGGGCCACACCUUCAUAUGAUCUCACCUUGGCUACAGGUCAAUCUCUGCAUCCCACAUCCCAUUUCAAGAAUCGAAGCUCUUAAUUCCAUCACUUAAUUUAGAUGACAAGAGGCAAUCUAAGCAUCUUCCCAUAGAAUUGCACAGGGGAAAUCAAAAGAAAAUCAGCUCCAAAAUGAAGCACACAGAGAUAUAACAUUUUCUGAUCCUACAUGAUCAGUUGAAAAAACACUACACAGGAGACAAGCUCUGAAGAAAGUGUUAGUUUACUCCUAUGUGCCACUGCAGUCAGAUUUGAGGGCAAAGUUCUCAAUACUAACUGACAUUAAAAUACAUUUGGUAGAACGAUCUGUCAUCCAAAACAUUCCUCAUUAAAAGUUAAUACACAUUUCCCUGACUUAUAUAGCUGGUUUGGGUUUUGAUUUUUUUUGUUCAAGAAAAUAUUGGGUAAAAUGAUCCACAUUCUGUUUUAAAGUAAACCUCCUUAAACUAGCUGUUUGACAUACCAAUUA
Molecule: long non-coding RNA, 3043 nt
Organism: Haemorhous mexicanus (house finch)
Lineage: Eukaryota; Metazoa; Chordata; Aves; Passeriformes; Fringillidae
Exons: 3
Source: RefSeq, a predicted model, not a curated record